GAUGAACGCUGGCGGCGUGCCUAAUACAUGCAAGUCGAGCGAACAGAUGAGGAGCUUGCUCCUCUGACGUUAGCGGCGGACGGGUGAGUAACACGUGGAUAACCUACCUAUAAGACUGGGAUAACUUCGGGAAACCGGAGCUAAUACCGGAUAAUAUAUUGAACCGCAUGGUUCAAUAGUGAAAGACGGUUUUGCUGUCACUUAUAGAUGGAUCCGCGCCGCAUUAGCUAGUUGGUAAGGUAACGGCUUACCAAGGCAACGAUGCGUAGCCGACCUGAGAGGGUGAUCGCCCACACUGGAACUGAGACACGGUCCAGACUCCUACGGGAGGCAGCAGUAGGGAAUCUUCCGCAAUGGGCGAAAGCCUGACGGAGCAACGCCGCGUGAGUGAUGAAGGUCUUCGGAUCGUAAAACUCUGUUAUUAGGGAAGAACAAAUGUGUAAGUAACUAUGCACGUCUUGACGGUACCUAAUCAGAAAGCCACGGCUAACUACGUG
This 497-nucleotide ribosomal RNA is filed under the name uncultured bacterium. RNAcentral's name for it is "partial 16S ribosomal RNA". It matches the Rfam family "Bacterial small subunit ribosomal RNA", at positions 28 to 507 of the family's 1533-position model. The record is from RNAcentral.